UACGUAGGGUGCAAGCGUUGUCCGGAAUCAUUGGGCGUAAAGAGCGCGUAGGCGGCCCGAUAAGUCCGCUGUGAAAGUCAAGGGCUUAACCCUUGAAUGCCGGUGGAAACUGUCGGGCUAGAGUCCGGAAGAGGCGAGUGGAAUUCCUGGUGUAGCGGUGAAAUGCGCAGAUAUCAGGAGGAACACCUAUUGCGAAGGCAGCUCGCUGGGACGUAACUGACGCUGAGACGCGAAAGCGUGGGGAGCAAACAGG
Molecule: ribosomal RNA, 253 nt
Filed under: uncultured bacterium
Lineage: Bacteria
Description: partial 16S ribosomal RNA
Rfam family: Bacterial small subunit ribosomal RNA
Source: RNAcentral